AGCAAGGAAGGCAUUGUAAAGGGAACCCCAGCUACUUAUUAGCCAUACCCUGGUAUGUCACAGCAUCCCAAACUACUGUAAGGAAUCUAGGUAAAUCACCUGCCCAUUCCUUGCCUCUCCUUCUUGCUGGGGGAGUCUCCAGACUGCAGGGCUGCAGACUGCCCCAAACUCAGGCCCAGGCCCUGGGGAGGCUGAACAAGCAGGGAUCUGUUGCCUACCACCAUCUGAUUCAGCCUCAACAUAAUGUGCAAUGUAAGGACAUUUGUGCCACAGCUUCGCUCUGUUGACCAGGUACCUUGACUAACAGAACAGGUGCCCUUUAGUGUUGGGCUGCCAGUGAACAGAUGCACAAUGGGGAUGUCAGUAAGAUGCAGAAGCAAGGUGGAGAAUGGAAGAAUAAUCUGCAACACACAAGUAUUUCAGGGUGGUGGCACUUGUGCUCUGAAGUAAGAGGCACGUAAAAUGGAGAAGGCCUGUUUUACAUGGGUGGCUUCAACGGAAAUACUUCUGAGCUACUCCAGUGCUAGUGUCAUGAGUCACCAUCUCAUUAAAUGCUUCAGAAGAGCCUGCAGCGUGAAAUAGUUGUUCAUCAUUGCCACAGGAUAAGCAUAUCCACAUCUUGAACAAUAAGAGAAAGAAGAGGAGAUGUAGUUGAUUCAAGUUCCCUGCCUAGGGGGAAAACGAGAGUCUCAACCUUUCCCGUACUGAAGUGGGCUCAGCAACAAAGCCACUUGGCAGCACUAAAUCUCAGCUCAAACUCAAUGAGCAGUGAUGAACCAACUUAAGCUGCUAUGGAGACAGCAAGUUUUGUUAGUCAGCCACAGCUGCCUCCUUGUUUCCCAGUACAUUAAAGCAUCCUCUUUUGAAACCAUAAUUUCCCCCCCUUAUUGAUGUUUUCCACACCUCUUUCUUUAAACUACUGACACUCACUCUGCCUCCAUAGCACCGACUACAAAAAUCUCUUUAUUAUCAAGAGUGUUUCAACAGAGAGAAGACAGAUGGUAAACUGAUGCACUCAGACUGUAAAAGAGGCCCAUCUGCGUUAUACACGGAGCUUGUCUCAACCAUUGAGGGCCAUGAAAUCAGCUAUCCAGACCUACUGCUUUAUUUUUUGCCUUUUCUGUAUGUGUAGGGAGCUUGGAUGAGUGCAUGAGGUCUCUCUGGGAUUAUUUGCAGUGUAAAGCCUCCCUCAUGAGGAGACUCCUGGGUGAAUUUGUUUCAAAUGAUUAUUUUAGCUUAAUUCAACAGUGGUGACUCCCUGUAAUGAUAAAGGGUUUGCAUCCCUGA
This 1287-nucleotide long non-coding RNA is filed under the name Chrysemys picta bellii (western painted turtle). RNAcentral describes it as "lncRNA (ENSCPBG00000025255.1)". Lineage: Eukaryota; Metazoa; Chordata; Testudines; Emydidae. The record is from RNAcentral.